UGCAGGAGAGUAGCGGGCAACCUAUGCAACAAAAGCUGCCGCAGAGCCAAGCGACAGCCCGACGCUCAGCGGACAUUAACACGGAGCCACCGGCUGACACUACCCGGAGAGGUACGACAGCAAGGAUUAAAAUUGCAGCCUGGACCAAAACGUCUCACCGACAUUAAUGAAGCUUUUAAGGCCUUUUGCCUCUUCCUUACGACGUGCUGUGAUGCAGUCUGAGUUCAGGUUGCACGCCUGAGACUGGCAGGUUCAGCUGAAGUGAAAGCAGCCGACUUCCUCUCGGUGAAAUGUUUGCUGACUAUUGAAUGGCGCUGAAUCGGCAUCAUUUUAAAACCAACAACGCAAUGUAGCCAGACACAUCUGGUCACGAGCAAAAAGUCACAUGAACACACAUGAACUUCAACAUACAUUAGCACAGAUGUUGUGCAAACAGAGCACACAUACACGUAUGCAGACACUCUCAGAGAAAGGCUGUUCAUUAUUUGCCCAUAUACAAAUAUUUGAGACUUUGCAUUCAGAACUGGAUUUUAUUCCCCUAAACAACAUGUAAAUAAUGUCUGAUUAUGCUUACUGUUUUCAUCCCAGUUAUGUAAUGCUCACACCUUUCUAACCGAGAUACUUCCUAGUCUCUUGGUCGAGACAUGCCCAAACACACCCUUCCUAUUAUGACCAGAUUGAGGUUUGCAACAAAAAUGUAAAAAAAUU
Long non-coding RNA from Notothenia coriiceps (black rockcod), 708 nucleotides. RefSeq lists it as uncharacterized. NCBI's taxonomy places the organism in Eukaryota, Metazoa, Chordata, Actinopteri, Perciformes, Nototheniidae. The record is from RefSeq and is a predicted model, not a curated record. The transcript has 3 exons.